GCAGUUUGUUCUCAGCCACGUUGUGCCUGACCCUAGUCAGUCAAUUUAUUAUUUCAAACUGCCCAUUAUUUAGAUAUCUCUCAUAUACAUGUGAUCAGGAAAUUUCAACCACAAAUAUACAGUGAUACAGAAGUAUUCCAAACAGUCAUGUUGAAAAUACUUGGAGGGCAUGAAUUCCAGCAUU
Non-coding RNA from Vicugna pacos (alpaca), 184 nucleotides. NCBI's taxonomy places the organism in Eukaryota, Metazoa, Chordata, Mammalia, Artiodactyla, Camelidae. The record is from RefSeq and is a predicted model, not a curated record.